This 500-nucleotide ribosomal RNA is filed under the name uncultured bacterium. Its description in RNAcentral is "partial 16S ribosomal RNA". It matches the Rfam family "Bacterial small subunit ribosomal RNA", at positions 30 to 523 of the family's 1533-position model. The record is from RNAcentral.
AUUGAACGCUGGCGGAAUGCUUUACACAUGCAAGUCGAACGGCAGCACGGACUUCGGUCUGGUGGCGAGUGGCGAACGGGUGAGUAAUGUAUCGGAACGUGCCCAGUCGUGGGGGAUAACGUAGUGAAAAUUACGCUAAUACCGCAUACGAUCUAUGGAUGAAAGCGGGGGAUCGCAAGACCUCGCGCGAUUGGAGCGGCCGAUAUCAGAUUAGGUAGUUGGUGGGGUAAAGGCCCACCAAGCCAACGAUCUGUAGCUGGUCUGAGAGGACGACCAGCCACACUGGAACGAGGACACGGUCAAGAAUCCUACGGGAGGCAGCAGGGGGGAAUUUUGGACNNNGGGCGAAAGCCUGNUCCAGCCAUUCCGCGUGCAGGAUGAAGGCCCUCGGGUUGUAAACUGCUUUUGUACAGAACGAAAAGGUUUCUACUAAUACUAGGAGCUCAUGACGGUACUGUAAGAAUAAGCACCGGCUAACUACGUGCCAGCCGCCGCCGUAA